RNAcentral lists this ribosomal RNA (708 nucleotides) under Triticum aestivum (bread wheat). RNAcentral describes it as "partial small subunit ribosomal RNA". The record is from RNAcentral. Lineage: Eukaryota; Viridiplantae; Streptophyta; Magnoliopsida; Poales; Poaceae.
AUGGGCGCGGUGCAGCCGGCGGGCUGUGCCGGUGGGCUCUGGUGGGCAGCCUCCCACGGCCGCGCGGGCGGCGUGGGGGCUGCGGACGCUGGCGCAGUGGCGGCUCCUCGCAAUCCGUCAUGGCUCCAUGUAGAAGAUCCGCCCCUGCUUCGAUCUGUCCCGAUCCGUGCUGGUGCCGGUCCUUGGCGGCGGCUUCGGCGUCCCCUAUGGCCGGCCUGGCGGACCUGGCGUGCGGGUGAGGUUCCGGGGGAAACCCCUGGCUGGCGCGGCAGCCUCCCCAAAGUCGACGCCUUUGGCGCUGAUUCCCUUCCUGAAGGCUUUGGGGUGGAUCCUCUCCCUUCCGCCUCCUCCUCGAGCUAUGGCGAAAGCUUUUGUUCCCCUGGUCUGGGCGUCGACGGCACCCUGGUGUCGUGCUCCUUCUUGAAGGCGGCGGCUGGGAACAACUCUUGGUGGCGGGGCUGCUGGUGGCGUGGUGGCGGUAUGUACAAUUAUUCCAACCCAGGUUUCUUUCAAGAAGGAUAUGGCACUGGGUUCAUUGGUGAGACUUGUGAGGAUGUGCCUAGGUUAAAGAUGGCUGCUAUGUCGGUACCAAGUGGCAUGUGUUUAAAUGGAGUAUCCUUGUCAGGAGAGCUGAUUUCUGAAAUAUGGUACUUUAUGGGUGCAAGGAUUCACCAUGUUGCGGUCUUCGUCAGCGGAGUGGACUCCUAG